RNAcentral lists this ribosomal RNA (214 nucleotides) under uncultured bacterium. RNAcentral's name for it is "partial 16S ribosomal RNA". It matches the Rfam family "Bacterial small subunit ribosomal RNA", at positions 120 to 334 of the family's 1533-position model. The record is from RNAcentral.
CGCAAUUUACCCUUGUCUGGGAGAUAGCCCGGAGAAAUCCGGAUUAAUAUCCCAUAAGAUAUUGGAGUGGCAUCACUCAGAUAUUAAAGCUCAGGCGGAUAAGGAUGAGCGUGCGUCCCAUUAGCUAGUUGGUAGGGUAAUAGCCUACCAAGGCGACGAUGGGUAGCUGGUGUGAGAGCACGACCAGCCACACGGGCACUGAGACACGGGCCCG